This is a long non-coding RNA of Empidonax traillii (willow flycatcher), 357 nucleotides long. RefSeq lists it as uncharacterized. The transcript is spliced from 2 exons. The record is from RefSeq and is a predicted model, not a curated record. NCBI's taxonomy places the organism in Eukaryota, Metazoa, Chordata, Aves, Passeriformes, Tyrannidae.
CUCUUUCUUUCCUGUUGGCUUGGAUUAGCAGAAACUCCUUUACUCUUGGGGUAAAGAAGGCUCUACCUUAUCAUUCAAUACUGAGCGUGCAGUUCUAACAAUGCACCAUGGUUGGAUAUGAAGGAUGAGAAGCCAAAUGACAAUACAGGCCCAUGCAGAACAUUCCUUAUGGCUGAAAAACCAUCACCAAAGCCCACCUCUGGGAGCUUGCCAAGAAAGGAUCCAAACACUGCUGUGUGACUGCAUCCACUACUGCCAGAAUCUGCAGCUGAAUCAAACUUUUAUCCGCUGACAGGCCUAAAAGAAUCUGCGCUGACCCUAGAGCACAUCUAUUCACCUCUUCCUAGGUCAAUUAAA